This 1239-nucleotide long non-coding RNA is filed under the name Homo sapiens (human). Its description in RNAcentral is "HSALNT0092125". Lineage: Eukaryota; Metazoa; Chordata; Mammalia; Primates; Hominidae. The record is from RNAcentral.
UUUUUUCUUUCAAAUAGCAUUUGAGUAGUGUACUUUAUUAUACAGGGUUCCAAUGCGAGACAAAAUACACUCUGAAUCAGCAUAAUUCAAAGAGUAUUACAAAAAUAAAUCACAAAGGGUACUAUAGAAACCUCGGACUAGUAGCAGGCAAACACUCACUACUCUUAAGCCUGUGGUGAAAAGGAUUUUUCCCAAAAAAUCCAUAGCAAUAUCUGGGGGUCCUGAAAUACUUUCAUAUGGUUUGGCUCUGUGUUCCCACCCAAAUCGCACCUCGAAUUACAAUCCCCAUGUGUUGGAGGAGGGGCCUGGUUGGGGGUGUUGGAUCAUGGGGGCGAUUUCCAUUGGUUUAACACCAUCCUCCUAGUGCUGUCUUGUGAUGGAAUUCUCAUAAGAUCUGCUUGUUAAGAAGAAAGUAUAUAACACCUCCUCCUUCACUCUGUCUCUCCUGCUACCAUACGAAGAUGUGCUUGCUUCCUUUUCCACCUUCUGCCAUGAUUGCAAGUCUUCUGAGGCCUCUCAGCCAUGCUUCCUCUACAGCCUGCAGAACUGGAACUGUGGAGAAGAUGGUAUUAGAAAAUUCCACUUAAUGAUACAGUGGGUACACAUGCAGUUUUGUUACAUGGGAAUACUGCAUGAUGCUGAGGUUUGAAGUAUGGAUCCCAUCACACAGAUAUUUGGAUGCCCUCAUUUGGUCACUUCAUUGAAAUCAAGACAAGCAGCCUCAAAGUUCAUAGAAAACCAGCCCCAAAGAUUUUUGGGCAAGCUAUUUCUCAAAAGAGGAUCAAAAUGUUUGAAUUUGCACACAGAAUUUUUAGCAGUGUGAUUAAAACAAAUCAUCUAAACUCUCAAGUUUCAGUUUCUCAACUGCUGCACAGGAAGCAUGACUGGGGAGGCUUCAGAAAACUUACAAUCAUGGCAAAAGGCAAAGAAGUAGGAGGCACGUCUUCACAUGUCCACAGCAGGAGGAAGAGAGAGAGAAAGUGGAGGUGCUACACACUUUUAAACAACCAGAUCUUGUGAGAACUCUAUCACAAAACAACAUCUGGGGAUGGUGCUAAACCAUUAGCAACCACCACCGUUAUCCAAUCACCUCCCACCGUGCCCCUCCUCCAACACUGGGAAUUCUGAUUUGAUGUGAGAUUUGGGUGGGAACACAAAUCCAAACCAUAUCAGCUAUGUAAUAAACCUAUACAUGUAACCCCCAGUUUAAAAUAAAAGUUAAAUCAAAAAUUGAAAAAA